UGGGGAAUUUUGGACAAUGGGCGCAAGCCUGAUCCAGCCAUGCCGCGUGCAGGAUGAAGGCCUUCGGGUUGUAAACUGCUUUUGUACGGAACGAAAAGACUCUGGUUAAUACCUGGGGUCCAUGACGGUACCGUAAGAAUAAGCACCGGCUAACUACGUGCCAGCAGCCGUGGUAAUACGUAGGGUGCGAGCGUUAAUCGGAAUUACUGGGCGUAAAGCGUGCGCAGGCGGUUAUGUAAGACUGAUGUGAAAUCCCCGGGCUCAACCUGGGAACUGCAUUUGUGACUGCAUAGCUAGAGUACGGCAGAGGGGGAUGGAAUUCCGCGUGGAGCAGUGAAAUGCGUAGAGAUGUGGAGGAACACCGAUGGCGAAGGCAAUCCCCUGGACCUGUACUGACGCUCAUGCACGGAAGCGUGGGGAGCAAACA
Molecule: ribosomal RNA, 427 nt
Filed under: uncultured bacterium
Lineage: Bacteria
Description: bacterial SSU rRNA
Rfam family: Bacterial small subunit ribosomal RNA
Source: RNAcentral